UACGGAGGAUGCGAGCGUUAUCCGGAUUUAUUGGGUUUAAAGGGUGCGCAGGCGGCGAGUUAAGUCAGCGGUAAAAUUUCGGGGCUCAACCCCGUCGUGCCGUUGAAACUGACACCCUUGAGUGGGCGAGAAGUAUGCGGAAUGCGUGGUGUAGCGGUGAAAUGCAUAGAUAUCACGCAGAACGCCGAUUGCGAAGGCAGCAUACCGGCGCCCAACUGACGCUGAGGCACGAAAGCGUGGGGAUCGAACAGG
RNAcentral lists this ribosomal RNA (252 nucleotides) under uncultured Bacteroidales bacterium. RNAcentral's name for it is "partial 16S ribosomal RNA". It matches the Rfam family "Bacterial small subunit ribosomal RNA", at positions 524 to 776 of the family's 1533-position model. Lineage: Bacteria; Pseudomonadati; Bacteroidota; Bacteroidia; Bacteroidales. The record is from RNAcentral.